This 681-nucleotide small RNA is filed under the name Pan troglodytes (chimpanzee). RNAcentral describes it as "retained intron". Lineage: Eukaryota; Metazoa; Chordata; Mammalia; Primates; Hominidae. The record is from RNAcentral.
UGGGCCGAUUCGCCUACACAUGGACUUCCUUGGCUCUAGGCGGACUCAGGCUCCAUCCAGCACACGGGGGAAGAGGGAGAGGAAGAGAUAAUGGGCUGAGUUUGAGUGGAGGGUCCUUUUGGGCUGGACCCAUCUGCUACUUCUCACCUGUGUCCCCAGCUCCUUCCUGAUCAUCUGCUCAUCUUACCUGUCUCUGUCCCCAGAUAUCUGUUCCAAAAACCCCUGCCACAACGGUGGUUUAUGCGAGGAGAUUUCCCAAGAAGUGCGAGGAGAUGUCUUCCCCUCGUACACCUGCACGUGCCUUAAGGGCUACGCGGGCAACCACUGUGAGACGAAAUGUGUCGAGCCACUGGGCAUGGAGAAUGGGAACAUUGCCAACUCACAGAUCGCCGCCUCAUCUGUGCGUGUGACCUUCUUGGGUUUGCAGCAUUGGGUCCCGGAGCUGGCCCGCCUGAACCGUGCAGGCAUGGUCAAUGCCUGGACACCCAGCAGCAAUGACGAUAACCCCUGGAUCCAGGUGAACCUGCUGCGGAGGAUGUGGGUAACAGGUGUGGUGACGCAGGGUGCCAGCCGCUUGGCCAGUCAUGAGUACCUGAAGGCCUUCAAGGUGGCCUACAGCCUUAAUGGACACGAAUUCGAUUUCAUCCAUGAUGUUAAUAAAAAACACAAGGUAGGUCUUGU